AAAAUUCCAGCUAUUAAUUAUUCAGAGGGGAGAAUUUCGAAGUUGGAACCUUUCUUUUCUUGCUCAUUUGUUUUGUUUUUGGGUUCAUUACUUGUGGUUCUCCCUGCCUUUUCGUUCCUCUCAAUAUUUUCCCACCAUUGAUAUGACCGUUUAUUUUUUCUUUUUAAAAGGGGAAAACUUUUUUGUUAUUCUUUUUUUAGAGAAUUGGAUUACCGGCUGCAUUAAAUAAUUCCCUCUUCCCCUUCCAAGGUUCACACCUUCAUUUUGUACCUUAUCUCUAUAAAUUCCCCAGCCACCAUUCCUUCAACUCACAAACUCUCACACUUUCUCUUUCUUUCCUUAACAUUAAGCAAAUAUGAACAAGAUCACAGCCCUGUUCUUCAUGGCUCUGUUCCUCCUCUGCAUGAUCACCCACUCCGCACGCCUUGAACCAGCCUUUCAAGAGGAAUCUUUGGAGUCCACAAAACUUGAGGAUAUUGAUGAAAGCUGUGAAGGCAUUAAAGAAGAUGAAUGCUUGAUGAGGAGGACACUUGCCGCACACAUCGAUUAUAUUUAUACGCAGAAGCAAAACCCUUGAAAGAAUUUUCUCUCUUCUUCUUUUCAUGGUUGUUUGGUGUUUUACUAUAUUAGGCGCUAGUACCAUGCUUAUUUGGCUAAGGCCUCAAAUGCUCUUUCCUCUCUUUUAUGCUUAUGUAUAGCAUAUUUAUAUUUAUAUCACUGCUAUAUAUCAUGAAAUUAUAAUAAAUAUAUUUGAUAGUUGUGUAACCAGUUAUCCUCACCUUAAGAAUUAUUCUUCUCUU
This is a long non-coding RNA of Cajanus cajan (pigeon pea), 800 nucleotides long. RefSeq lists it as uncharacterized. The record is from RefSeq and is a predicted model, not a curated record. Lineage: Eukaryota; Viridiplantae; Streptophyta; Magnoliopsida; Fabales; Fabaceae.